This 253-nucleotide ribosomal RNA is filed under the name uncultured bacterium. RNAcentral's name for it is "partial 16S ribosomal RNA". It matches the Rfam family "Bacterial small subunit ribosomal RNA", at positions 524 to 776 of the family's 1533-position model. The record is from RNAcentral.
UACAGAGGUGGCAAGCGUUGUUCGGAAUUACUGGGCGUAAAGGGCGCGUAGGCGGUCUUGUAAGUCUUGUGUGAAAUCCCUCGGCUCAACUGAGGAACUGCACGGGAUACUGCGAGACUUGAGUUCGGGAGAGGGAAGCGGAAUUCCUGGUGUAGCGGUGAAAUGCGCAGAUAUCAGGAGGAACACCGGUGGUGAAGGCGGGUCUCUGGGCAACAACUGACGCUGAGGAGCGAAAGCGUGGGGAGCGAACAGG